CAAUCAAGCAGAAAAAACAAAAAAUCCAGUUCUAGCGGAUGAACAAUAUGAUCAACAAUAAUCCUCAGUUCAGGUCUCCAAAUUGCUUCCACAUCGCACCUUAGUGCAUCAGAAGAACGAAAGUAUUUAGUUUGAUCAUCAUCAGACAGCUUCCACCAUCAUAUAAAAAAG
Triticum dicoccoides is the source of this 171-nucleotide long non-coding RNA. RefSeq lists it as uncharacterized. The record is from RefSeq and is a predicted model, not a curated record. The transcript has 2 exons. NCBI's taxonomy places the organism in Eukaryota, Viridiplantae, Streptophyta, Magnoliopsida, Poales, Poaceae.